This 546-nucleotide long non-coding RNA is filed under the name Androctonus crassicauda. Lineage: Eukaryota; Metazoa; Arthropoda; Arachnida; Scorpiones; Buthidae. The record is from RNAcentral.
UUUUAAGAGAAAAUCUUACUUUUGGAAAGACUUCAUUUAUGAUUUAAAAAAUAAAAAUACUGUAAAAAUAUAGAUAAUUCAAUUCCUGUGUCCAAAAUAUCGUUCCUUUUUUGUGAGUUAGUUGCUAUUGCAGAUACACCAUUAAAUGGUCAAAAUUUUGCUACUAUUAAUAACAGGAGUGUACCUUUUUGUUUUCCUAUUUUACACCUCUUUCCAAUCUGUGAGAUUAUUAAGGGGUGGGGCCAGUUCAAACCAUGAGCUACAUCCACACCUGUGAUAGGGAUCUGAAUGAUAAAGGAUGAGGAUCGUCAGGUGGGACCCAGAAUUCCGAGAAAACUUUUCAGAAGAUUCUGUGCCAUACAGGAGGACCUGGGAUGUGAUCCCAGGUCCUCCUGUGUGGUAUGCCAGCACAUUACCAUGCAGCCAUCCAGCCACCUUACACUGAGCUUACUAUUGCAAUCACAAUUACAUAUCCUGAUCUGUUUCAGAACAGUCUGUGGUCGUUUUAAAAUGCCCAGAAUGUAUUGGUUUUAAUGGAGUUGCCCG